Molecule: transfer RNA, 67 nt
Filed under: Melolontha hippocastani
Lineage: Eukaryota; Metazoa; Arthropoda; Insecta; Coleoptera; Scarabaeidae
Description: tRNA-Ser
Source: RNAcentral
GAAAUAUGAAAUUCAAGAAUAAGCUUCUAACUUAACUCUUUAGCAGUGCAACUCUGUUAAUAUUUCU